UGGGGAAUAUUGCGCAAUGGGCGAAAGCCUGACGCAGCUACGCCGCGUGGGUGAUUAAGGCCUUCGGGUUGUAAAGCCCUGUCGGGAGGGACGAAGUUCUGACGGUACCUCCCAAGAAAGCACCGGCUAACUCCGUGCCAGCAGCCGCGGUAAUACGGAGGGUGCGAGCGUUGCUCGGAAUCAUUGGGCGUAAAGCGUACGCAGGCGGUUCGUCAAGUCGGGUGUGAAAGCCCGGGGCUCAACCCCGGAAAUGCGCCCGAAACUGGCGAGCUUGAGUGCGGGAGAGGGAAGCGGAAUUCCUGGUGUAGAGGUGAAAUUCGUAGAUAUCAGGAGGAACACCGGUGGCGAAAGCGGCUUCCUGGCCCGACACUGACGCUCAUGUACGAAAGCGUGGGGAGCAAACAGGAUUAGAUACCCCCGUAGUCCCUGAGCGGGCUGGCAAGGCGCAU
RNAcentral lists this ribosomal RNA (449 nucleotides) under uncultured bacterium. RNAcentral's name for it is "bacterial SSU rRNA". It matches the Rfam family "Bacterial small subunit ribosomal RNA", at positions 355 to 825 of the family's 1533-position model. The record is from RNAcentral.